UACUUUAUAUACAACUAGUAAGAGUCAGCUGAUAUUUUCAACAUUCUGCCUGGAGAUCAAGUCCAAAAAUUCAUAAGCUUAUAGAAGAAUACGACAUACAGAAAAAUAUAUAUUCUGCAAAGAAAACACAGUUAUGUAGGGAACCUUUCCAUCCCCAGUCUGGACCCAGGCUUGUACUCAUAAAUCCUGGCUGCCUUCACAGCAUCAACCUAUAAUUUUUUGUCCACCUCGACUUAUGAAUUAUCAAGAGCUCUCUUAGAUUAUCUGCCUUUUAGCAGGGGCUGAGGAUUAUUAAUAUUCCAGCCUAUAUUUAGAAUUGGCAAAUGCCAUUAAGGGACCUGUGAGAGAAAGCCGGGGAAGCAGAACCCUUUGAUGGAGACAACAGAGUCAGGACAAUAUUGUUUAAAACUCCUAAAUCCAAACAUGCCUGAAGCUAUAAGUUACUUCUGAAAUUUAAAAAUUUUCCAGUGAUUCAAGUUUGACACACCACACCACGGUGGAUGUGCCUUGUCAUGACACAUCUCAGCAGCACUAGAAGAUACAUCCAAAGUCCUGUGAGCAAGGUCUGUGGUAUCUGUUUAUUAUGGCAGCCCAGUAAGACUAAGACAGGCCAUCACAAGACGUGAACGUUUUGGACCUUCUCUUGGGCCCUAGUAAACAGAAAUCAGGCUAUUUAUUAAACUAAUCCACGUUCUGAACAGUUAUUGCUACUGGAAACCAGUCCCGAUCCAGACCACAAAAGACGAUUCUUGGAUCUUGCACAAGAAAGAAAGGCUACUGCUCACAGUAAAAGAGCACUUGGUGGAAAUUUUGUUCUGAAGUGAAGGCUGAAACCCCAGAGAUCAAACACUGUACUCAAGUAUACAAAGCUGGACUCAGACCCUAACACUGGCUUUAAAAUUUGUCCUAACUUAGACCAUAAUGCCUCUCUUUCCAGCUGGAUCUACAUGCCUCCACUCUGGCUUUUAACAAGGCUCUGAACUAUUGUCAGAACUUGGGAAUUUCUAACAUUGAAGAGUAGAAUCACAUGGGGGCAAUUUAAAGAAUUUCAUCAAUACCUUCAAAUUAAAUAAACCAGCAUCUGGUUGAAAAAAAAAAAUCACUUACCUGGAAGGAGAAACCAAAGAAACAUCCUCAAAUUCUAAAGCUUCAUUCAAAAUUCAAGGUAAGGAAACCAAAUUUCCACAAUAUGAUCCCUUAAAAUCACCAAGAAUGUUCAAAACUACAUUUGAUAACAACAGCUCACACAACUACUUGGCUCUCCUAGAUUCCUAAGACCCUAACCAGCUAAUAGACGUCUGUGGACAUAUUCAAUUCUGCAAAGCUGCAAAAUAUCUGUGAGAAGAUGGUUUUUGAAUAGGACUUUUUACUAUAGCUAUAUACUAUUUAGUUCAGUAAACUGGGUAGAAAGCAUUGAAGCAAACUCGUAACCAUUGAACAACAAACUUUAGUUUGCCAAAACUGCUUAGGGACUGGAUUAAGGGAAGGCUCUCCUGUUAUUUUUAUCUCUUUGCCUUUGGUGCUCUCAGCUUUCUGUAGCUAAAGUAGCUUUCAAAAAUCUACUUGUGUCAUUCCUAGAUUAAAGGUCAGUUUAAGUAUUGUCCUGUUGAAUUCAGAAGGUACAUUUAAGCUAGAAAACCACUUGCAGCACAUCUAAUCCAAAUUGCCGACUUUACAGAUAGACAUUUGGUCUCAUAAAAAUUAAAUGACUAGCUCAGAUCAGCAUAUCUGGUAAGCAGCAGAACUGAGACUUAAUU
Molecule: long non-coding RNA, 1757 nt
Filed under: Homo sapiens (human)
Lineage: Eukaryota; Metazoa; Chordata; Mammalia; Primates; Hominidae
Description: HSALNT0322647
Source: RNAcentral